RNAcentral lists this ribosomal RNA (446 nucleotides) under uncultured bacterium. Its description in RNAcentral is "partial 16S ribosomal RNA". It matches the Rfam family "Bacterial small subunit ribosomal RNA", at positions 338 to 795 of the family's 1533-position model. The record is from RNAcentral.
CCUACGGGCGGCAGCAGUCGAGAAUCAUUCACAAUGGGGGAAACCCUGAUGGUGCGACGCCGCGUGGGGGAAUGAAGGUCUUCGGAUUGUAAACCCCUGUCAUGUGGGAGCAAAUUAAAAAGAUAGUACCACAAUAGGAAGAGACGGCUAACUCUGUGCCAGCAGCCGCGGUAAUACAGAGGUCUCAAGCGUUGUUCGGAAUCACUGGGCGUAAAGCGUGCGUAGGCUGUUUCGUAAGUCGUGUGUGAAAGGCGCGGGCUCAACCCGCGGACGGCACAUGAUACUGCGAGACUAGAGUAAGGGAGGGGGAACCGGAAUUCUCGGUGUAGCAGUGAAAUGCGUAGAUAUCGAGAGGAACACUCGUGGCGAAGGCGGGUUCCUGGACAUUAACUGACGCUGAGGCACGAAGGCCAGGGGAGCGAAAGGGAUUAGAUACCCUAGUAGUC